AAUAAAUUUUUUAUGGUUUAAAAAUUUUAUUUUAAAUUUAUUUUACAUAUAAAUUUUAGUGUUAAUUUUUAUUUAUUUAGAUAAUAAAUAAUUUUUUAUGUAGUAAUUAAUUUUAAAAAUUUAAGUAAUUAAGAUUUAGUAAUAUAUUAAUUAAUAACUAAUUUUGUGCCAGCAGUUGCGGUUAUACAAAAAUUGAUUUAAAAUUUUUUAGUAAUUAAAUAAUAAAUUUAAUUAAAUAAUUUAAAAUUUAAAUUAUUAGGUGAAAUUUUAAUUUAUAGAAAAAUUAUUUAGAAAUUAUGAUUUAAUAAAUUUAAUAAAAAACUAGGAUUAGAUACCCUAUUAUUAAAAUUUAAAUUAUUAUACUAAAAUAGUAGGUAAUUUUUUAUUGAAACUUAAAUAAUUUGGCGGUAUUUUAGUUUAUUUAGAGGAAUCUGUUUAAUAAUUGAUAAUCCACGAAUAAAUUUACUUAAUUUAAAAUUUUGUAUAUCGUUGUUAAAAAAAUAUUUUUUAAUAAAAAUAAUAUUUAAAAAUUUAAAUUUAAAAUUAAAUCAGAUCAAGAUGCAGAUUAUAAUUAAGAAUAUAAUGGAUUACAAUAAAUUUAUUUUAUUUGGAUAUUAAUAUGAAAUAAUUAAUUGAAAUUGGAUUUAAAUGUAAUUUUAUUUAAUUUAAUAAAAUGAUUUUUUAUUAAAAUAUGUACAUAUUGCCCGUCGCUUUCAUUUAUAAAUUGAAAUAAGUCGUAACAAAGUAGAGGUACUGGAAAGUGUUUCUAGAAAGAA
RNAcentral lists this non-coding RNA (776 nucleotides) under Agrius convolvuli (morning glory sphinx moth). Lineage: Eukaryota; Metazoa; Arthropoda; Insecta; Lepidoptera; Sphingidae. The record is from RNAcentral.